UCUGAAAUGCAUCAGCAGACUUUUUUCUUUGCUGGCUUUGGUUUGAUAAAAAUCUAUCUAUGUCAUCGCCAUUCUGUAAACGAAAAGGAGUAGGCUUACAAUCGUCCUCGGACAAAAAACACUUGACGCUUUGACCUCAAAUCAGGUAGGACUACCCGCUGAACUUAAGCAUAUCAAUAAGCGGAGGAAAAGAAACUAACAAGGAUUCCCGUAGUAACGGCGAGUGAAGUGGGAAAAGCUCAAAUUUGAAAUCUGGCAGCCUAUCUUUGGCUUGUCCGAGUUGUAAUCUAGAGAAGCGUCUUUCCGUUGCUGGACCGUGUACAAGUCUCUUGGAAUAGAGCGUCGUAGAGGGUGAGAAUCCCGUCUUUGACACGGACUGCCAUGCACAUCUGUGAUGCGCUCUCGAAGAGUCGAGUUGUUUGGGAAUGCAGCUCAAAAUGGGUGGUAAAUUCCAUCUAAAGCUAAAUAUUGGCGAGAGACCGAUAGCGAACAAGUACCGUGAGGGAAAGAUGAAAAGAACUUUGGAAAGAGAGUUAAACAGUACGUGAAAUUGUUGAAAGGGAAACGCUUGAAGUCAGUCACGUCGGGCAGGGAUCAACCUUGUAUUUUUUGCUUGGUGCACUCCCUGUUUAUCACCGACGGGUCAGCGUCAAUUUUGACUGUCGGACAAAGUCCAUCGGAAUGUGACAUUUCCUUUGUGAGAUGUGUUAUAGCCUUUGGUCGUAUACGAUGGUUGGGAUUGAGGAACUCGGCACA
This 756-nucleotide ribosomal RNA is filed under the name Gliophorus cf. psittacinus. Its description in RNAcentral is "eukaryotic LSU rRNA". The stretch from base 132 to 756 matches the Rfam family "Eukaryotic large subunit ribosomal RNA", at positions 1 to 608 of the family's 3401-position model. The record is from RNAcentral. Lineage: Eukaryota; Fungi; Basidiomycota; Agaricomycetes; Agaricales; Hygrophoraceae.